CUCCAAGGUUGGCCGUGCACUAGGCAGGGAGGCACACCCACCAGAACAUGGACUGUUUCUCCUCUUCUUAGUGUAUUUGAUUUGUUUGCUAACUUCACUAAGGAAAGAAAUGCAGCAAUGUGCAAAGUUAGUGCUCAACAAGGUAUUCAGACUGCCUUGGCCUGCCAAACUUGGAGGGACACCCAUUGGAUGCAAAAGAUGUUCUCAGUGAGCUUGAGAGUCUUGCCCCACCCCCAAAAGAUACAAUCCCGGAAGUCAAAUUCUGAGUGUUCUGAGGUUGAGGAUUAGAGAUACUCCGGGACUUCUCUACCCCUAAAAAAGAAAAGACAUUGCACUACGGAGGAUCGUCAUUGGAUCCAGGCAUUAAGAAGAGUUCCAGUCAUCUUGAGAGAGCACCAUAAAAGGAAGAAGUGGAUGCUAGCCAUGAUGAAUUGGGAUGAAGAAUUCUCUCCUGGAGACCCAAAGGGAAAUAGGAAAAUUGGUUUGUCAAAGGAGAACUAGCUGGCAUCCUUUGCCUUCCAGUCACUAUGUGCUGAGAAAGUUUAUUCCUUAGCUGACAUCUUGACUAUGACACUCUGAAAGACUGGAUAGGCAAACUAGCUAUUCAGAAAAAGUUCUGGAAGUAACUGUUUAAAAGAAACUGAUUUGUUGUAGUUGAGGUAGAAUCAAACAAGGAACUGGAAUGGAAAGUCCCAGUCUCAGAAUCACAGAGUGUGAAUUUUGUCAAGGCUUCCUCUUCUCUUAUCCUGCAAUAUACAAAACUUAUAAGCAAGAUGUUCUGUAAAGACAUUCAAGUGGAGUGUGCAGGGUGCACAUAAUAGUUAAUGAAGAUCAAUAAAGAAGGACCUUUCUUCAAAGGUUAGUUUUAUUAAUAAACAAUAAUAAUGUCUUUUUGCCAUGUGAAGGAUGGCAUAAACGAAACUUUACCAUUCCUGUUUGACUUUCUCAAACUUUUAUAGUUCUUCAGGGGGUCUCACCCUAUUAUAUCAGAUCCAUAUCACUCUGGAUGAGAUCAAGAGCCUCUUUUCCUUCCAUGUCAACACAAAGUAUUUUCUCCCAAAAUAGUAUAUCUUUCGUCCAAUAGCUGGAAAUCAUUAAGCAUGUAGCUUGACCUCUCUUCCAGAGGAAUUUUAAUAAAAUCACCAAACUCAAAAUCACACUCUUUUUGAUAAUGAAAACAAUUCAAAGCAAUUAAAACCAUCUAAACAAAUAUUAUCUGUUGAGAUAGUGCUUCUUGAAUCUUGGGAGAUUAUUCAAUUUUUAAUAGCCCAAGAAGUCAUAAUUUGUUUUACAAGUGGACAAUGCAUUCCAAAAUUAGUUACACCUUCAAUAAAUUUUCUUAGUUCUAAGACAUCCAUUGAUUGUCAUUUGAAUUCCUGAUAACACUGUGAAUGAUCAUCAUCUGGGGGUCUUUGAUAUAUACUAACUGGAUAAAAUAAGUUCAUUUUAUAAUAACCUUUGGUUGACUUUCUCUAAUUUUAUCUUCUGUCUCUACCUGAGUAUUUUCCUUAAUUGAAAAUUUAAGAGACCUACCUGGUGGACUCAAGACACACACUCACAGGAACAUAUGAAAGCCAGUGGACAGGAAUAGUCACACAUCUGAAAGCAGACCACUCUGUUGCCAUAACUGGCUGAAGA
This 1638-nucleotide small RNA is filed under the name Rattus norvegicus (Norway rat). RNAcentral describes it as "uncharacterized LOC102548635". Lineage: Eukaryota; Metazoa; Chordata; Mammalia; Rodentia; Muridae. The record is from RNAcentral.